GGGGGUGGACAGAGACAGGUGUGUUGCAGACCCUCCAGCAUUUCUGCUUCCAGGUAAAACCUGCACGUGUGAGGAAUGUGUGGCAUUGUAAUGUCAGUCCUCCCUUCAGUUGCUGUCACUUGAAAGAAAAUGUGUUUGUUUAACAAACAUAAAUUGAGUGCCUACUGUGUACCCACACUUCUAGAUCCUGCUGUUGCUGCAGCCACAGCUGUGAUUAGGGCAAGUCUCAGCUCCCCUGGAGUGAGUGCUCCUGUGGGCCAUCAGGUGACAUGGGGACAGAUGCCACAGGGGAGUGUAGAGGAGGGGCCAGGGAGCGCUGUGGGAGCGAGGCUCUCUGAGAAGGCGAUGCGUGAGCCAAGGCCCAGGGUUGGGGUGGGGUGGCACCUGGGUGAGUGGAUCAGGUAGGGAGGCAGCUGGGCUGGCAUGGGAAUGAGGCAGGAGGCCCAGCCAUGGGGAACUGGAGGUCCUGCCUUUUUGAGACGGAAGCCACUGAACAGGUGAGGACUGAAGUUUAGAGUUUGGAUGGUUUACUGCCUUUGAUUGGCACACAGCCGCCAGUGUGUGUGCGUUGUGUGUGUGCAAUGGUGAGGCCACUGUGCACCCGGUGGCUGGCUUCUCAUGAGUUUAACACACACUCACCACACCAGUCAGCCCUCACGUCUUUACCCUGGAUCCUUUUCGAGAAAGGAUCUGGAAAGUAAACAUUUUAGACUUUGAGGGCCACAGUCACUGUCCAUGUUCCUCUCUGUGGUUGUCCUGCCAGACACACACCAUGAGUUUACAAAGACAGGCGGUGGAUGGAUGUGGCCUGGGGCCUGUUUGCCAAUGCCAGCCCCAGAAAAUAAAACUUAUGUUUGCAUAAAUACCUAUACACAGAUAUUUCUACCCAGGCAUAAUCACCAAGUGCUGGAAGCAACACAAGCGUCCUUCAAUGGUGAACGGAUGGCAGGGCCCCCAGAAGACCACAGGAAAGUCGUGUAGAGAAGACGUUCAGAUGGGGCGUCAGAUGUGGGGGAGAACGAGCUGGAGAUGGACACGGACAUGGAGGUGUGGAUGGCCCUGGGGAGGCCCCCUGGCAGCUGGUGGAUGGCAGGAGCGGCGUGGACAGCAGGAGCAGCAUGAACUGCAGGAGCGGCACGGGAUAAGAGAGGUCCCUUUAAGACAUGGCAGUGAAACGAUGAAACAGGCAAAAGCUGGUUGGAGAGGAGUCAUCAGAGAAGGAGCUUUAAGUGAAUUUCUUGACGAUGGUGCGCGGAUGGAUGGAGGAAGCCUCCUUGCUGAUAUAGAGUUGUGAUCCGGGGUGGAUGGGGGUGCAUAUGUGUUGGGGGAGGGCCGUGGGGAUGGAGGGAGCUGCUCCUGGUGUGGGUGGUGGCCGUGAUUCUGUGGGUUAAUGGAAGGUACUGGGGAUGGUCAACUCUGGUCACGCUUACCCUGCAAUCUGACGGCGCCAGUGCCCACUGACUGGCCCAAAUCACUCUUCUUCAAAGAUUCUGAAAGGGCUGUACAUCUAGAGUAGAUCCAGGGCUUUUGCAGUGUUGGUGACUUAGAAUAAAGAUCUUCAAAUUACGACAUUUUGGGCCUCUGGCUCACUCCCCCAAAGCAAAAUUUGUCCAAUGACAAUCUACAAAACUCAAGUAAGCCUCAUUCUUAAAUGUGACUGGAAAUAUUUAAGAUAAUCUAAAAUAAUCAAAGAGAAUAAAAAUAGCCUAUGAAGAAGCAAUUUAGAAACAAAAUCCUCCCAAUAAUUAGAAUUCUCAGAGAGAUUUAAGGAUAUAAUGCAGCCAUAAAACAUGAACAUGUACUUUAAGAAAACAGCAAUUGUGCCUCAUAAAAGCUCUUGGAAACCUGGAA
RNAcentral lists this long non-coding RNA (1851 nucleotides) under Homo sapiens (human). Its description in RNAcentral is "HSALNT0026160". Lineage: Eukaryota; Metazoa; Chordata; Mammalia; Primates; Hominidae. The record is from RNAcentral.